GCCCAGGUAGUGUAGCGGCCCAUCAUGUCUGCCUGUCACGCAGACGACUCGGAUUCGAAUUCCGACCUGGGCG
This 73-nucleotide transfer RNA is filed under the name Methanomicrobiales archaeon. RNAcentral's name for it is "tRNA-Asp". It matches the Rfam family "tRNA". Rfam says of the family: Transfer RNA (tRNA) molecules are approximately 80 nucleotides in length. Their secondary structure includes four short double-helical elements and three loops (D, anti-codon, and T loops). RNAcentral also lists the same sequence under 3 other names. Lineage: Archaea; Methanobacteriati; Methanobacteriota; Methanomicrobia; Methanomicrobiales. The record is from RNAcentral.